UAAGAAGUGAUCAAAAUGAAUGAGCAUGGUUUCCUCUAAUCCCAUUUCCAUUUUUGGUAUAAACUAGUUUUCAAACACAGAGAAGAUUUAGAUAUACACAAUGUACACAUAGUUUUCAGUUAAGCAUUUGACAAGGUCUCCCAUGCUAAUAAAAACCCAAAUAGUGUCUGUCACCAGGAGUCAGACACAACUCAAAUGACUGAACAACAUGAACACUGUAAUGGUUUGCCACUUCCUUCUUCAGCUUAUUUUUAUAAAUAAGGAAACUGAGGCCACAGAGUGAAGUGACUUGCCCAGGGUCACAUAGUAAGUACUGGAUUUGGGCUCAGGUUUUCUCCUGACUUGAGACCUGGUGCUCUAUCCCUGGUUCUACUCAACUACCCCACAUCUAGUCCUGGAGAUGUGAUAGUUCUGCUUUUGUCCAUCUUGCUCAGACCACAUCUGGAACAAUGCGUUCAGUUAUGGGAACAAAAUUUUAGGAAGGGCGGUGACAAACCCUAACAUAAGCAGAGAGUGGCAACCAUGUCACAUAAAACAUUUGAAACAAUUGGUGAUAUUGAGCCUGAGAAGAAGAGAGGAUUUGUGGAGAUUUCAUAGCUGUCCUCAAAUAUAUAGACAAGGGCUCCUGUCCUUGUUUUCAGAGGCAGAACCAGAAGCAAUGGAAACAAAUUGCAAAAAGGUAGAUUUUGGCUUUAUAGAAGGAAAUAUUUUCUAAGAAUUAGUGCUAACCACUUGUCAAGAAUGAUUUUUGGGGCAAGAAGGUGGCUCAGUGGAUUGAAAAACCAAGCCUAGAGAUGGGAGGCCCUGGGCUCAAAUCUGACCUCAGACAUUUCUUUGUUGUGUAACCCUGGGCAAGUCACUCAACCCUCCUUUGCCUAGUCCUUACUGCUCUUCUGCCUUAAAAUCAAUACUCAGUAUUGACUGGAAGGUAAGGUUUAAAAAAAAUAAUGAUUCUUGUUUAGGUGUGUGUAUAUAUAUACAUAUGUGUGUGUCUACACAUAUACACACAGAAAUAAAUACAAAUAUAACAUGUACAUAAAUAUAUAGACAUACAUACAUAUAUAUAUUUGUGGUUAGUUUUAGGUAGAGGUAUAGAAGGGAUUUUUGUUUAGGUAUAGGUUAGCCUUGAGACCUCCAAGUUCUCUUCUAGCUCUAUGAUCCUGUGAAACUUGCGGCUAAAGCUUAGGACAACCUCUCUGGAUUAUAUCAGCUAAGAUUAUUUAAACUUUCUCAUAUCUAGAGAAGGGUGCACAGAGGUGCACAUCAGAUGUACCCAAAGAACAUGAUGAAGUGUGGAAAAAUAGUGUUGAUAGCUAAAUUAGGGAGGGUCUUCAAUGUCUCAGGUUAAUGCCUUUGUGUUUCAUCCUAUAGGUAAUGAAACUAUGGAAGGUUUCUUAAUGAGGGAGGAGAUGUGCAUUAGGAAUAUUACUUUGAUGGCCCUGUUAAAAGAUGGAGUGAAGGGGGCAGCUGGGUAGCUCAGUAGAUUGAAAGCCAGGCCCAGAGAUGGGAGGUCUUGGGUUCAAAUUUGACCUCAGACACUUCCCAGCUGUGUGACCCUGGGCAAGUCACUUAAUCCCCAUUGCCUAGCCCUUACCACUCUUCUGCCUUGGAACCCAAAACACAGUAUUGAUUCCAAGAUGGAAGGUAAGGGUUAAAAAAAAAAAGAUGGAGUGAAGAAGGAAGAAACCAGAAACAGGGAGUUUAAUGCCCAUUACAGUGACUUAGGUGUAUGGUAAUUCAUGCCUGAACUAGGGUUGGAGUAGAAUGAGAAGAAAGGACAGAUUCCAGACAUAUUAAGGAAACAGAAUUGAUUAGAUUUGACAACUGAUUAGGUGGGAGGGGGGAAGAAAAGUGAAGAGUCAAAAAUUACUCUGAGUUUGGGAUGCUGGGGUUAUCAAAAGAAAAAAAGGGAAGUUAGGAAGGAUAGAUGUGAGGUUUUACACUAGUUACUUAAAUAGAAAUGAUUGUUGAAACCAUAGGAAGAGAUGUGAGGGCCUUUCUGCUGAUAAUCCUGUUACCCCUAUCAUUCAUCUUUGUACCUAAUCCUAAAACACUGAGUGUUGCUAGAGGAAGUAAUACAAAUCAUAUUGCCUAAGUUCAUUAGGGAGUUAUGCUGUCAGCUUGUAAUACUGGGCCCUUAUAGCUGAAAAGCAAUCUUUUUAUUCAUCUCUCAUAUAAUACCAAUCACGGUCCUCAUAACUAUUUUAAACCAUUUCUCUGUUCACAAUUUCUACUCUAGUAUUGUACUGUGACAAGGAAAUCACUUUUAAAAGACUGAUAUAUAUUAAUUUAAGGUCGCCAAGGAAUUCAGCUAUGUAAUUCCUUAAUGAAAACUCAAGUCAGCCGUCAGCCUUUUAUGGAGUUUUAAUUACAAACAGGAGGAAGAAAGGAAUUAGAGAGAGAGAGAGAGAGAGAGAGAGAGAGAGAGAGAGAGAGAGAGAGAGAGAGAGAGAAGGGGAGAGAAGGGAAUAGGGCUUAAAUACCCCUUCUGUUUAGGCUGGGCCAAAAGGCCCAAGCCCUUAGAUAGCUGGGGCAAUGAAAGGAGAUCAGUCCCUAUUACUCAUGUGACCAAAAAUGGAGAAACAGUCUCUGGGUCCCCCACCUUCAGCUUCCUUCAGUGCAAGCUUCUCAGAGCACACCACAACCACUCCGACAAACUCCUCAACCACCUCCAGUCUUCAGACCCCCCUAUCCUUAAGGCAACCAUCCAAGUUGCCUCCCCUCAGUUCUCACAUCUACCAAUCACUGUCCAUCAAUUUCCCUGUGCCAAUGGAGGCUCUAGCUUAACCCAGGACCGCCCAGAGGUCUCUGGCUUUGUACAUGUCUGUUGAAGGUCAUAUUUUCAAAUAAUUAAAUCUUUGAUCCUUUGCUACAGCCCUUUCUAAAUCCUAUUAACCUGAGUAGGGUAGAGAUUGGAAUAAUUAAAUUUUGAUCUAGGCUGCAGCCCUUCCUCAAUCCUGUUAGGACUGAAUAGGGUGGAGAUUGAUUCCAAGUAUCUCCAUUGUAUCAAUUCUAAAAUCAAUCAUGACUCAAAGAAAUUCCUGUUCUAUGCUUAAGCAUAGGUCAAAGUCCUUUCCAUUGUUCAGCAAAAGGUUUCUGUCCCAAAGUAAUCUUAAGAAGGUGGGAGGGGGAAACUCUCAUGCCAAUGGGGUUCACAUUCCAAUAGCCAAGACCCACUAUCAAUAGGAAAUUUUUCAAGUAUGAAAUUUCCCAAUGGUGAAAUUUCCAACAUUUAUAAGUCUAAGAAAUUUUGAGGUUUACAGUACUCUACACUCUUUGUGGAUAAUUUCAUUUCCUACUUCACUGGGAAUGAUAGUGCUCCCCUUUCAUACCUCAAAACCUUUUUGUCUUUAUCUAUUUUAUUCCUCCUUUUCUCUUCUCUGGUUUCAGAAAAUAAGGUAGUUUUAUUCCUUGUCAAGGUCAAAGCUUCAAGUUGUGCCUUUGAUUCCAUUCCCCUUUCCUCCACUGAUCAUUCUCUCAUCUUCGAUCUCUCCUGAGUUCUUCCACUCUGACUACAAACAUGGUUAUGUUAAAAAAAAAAGCUUCCUUUGUCCCUACUAUUCUCUAUUUUAUCAUUUACUCUUCUUUUUUCCUGCCAAACUUUUAAAAAGAAUGGUUUAUAUUUGCUGCCUCUGCUUCCCCCACCACCCAUGCAUUCUUAAAAACCCUGUAAUUCAAUUCUUCUGAAACUGCUCUUUAAGAUCUUUUAAUUGCCAAAUCCAAUGGCUUUUUAAAAAAAAACCCUUACCUUUCAUCUUAGAAUCAAUACUAUGUAUUGGUUACAAAGCAUAAAAGUAGUAAGGGGGCUAAAGGCAUUGGGAGUAAAGUGACUUGUGCAGGGUCACACACUAGAGAAGUGUCUAAGGCCACAUUUGACCCAGGACCAAUGGCCUUUUCUAAGUAUUAUCCUCUAUGCCCUUUCCACAGCGUUUGAUCCUACUGACAACUACCUCUUUUUUUUAUAUUCUCUCUUCCAACUUCUAUGACUGCUCUUUCUUGGUUAUCCCACCUGUCUGUCCAUUCCUCUUCCAUUUUCUCUGGUUCAUCUUCAUUCUUCUACCCCCAAAGUACAGAUUCUUAUCUAAGACUCUGUUCUUGGUCUUUUUAUUUUCUCUCUCUUAACAACCUCAUCUAUUUUCCAUGGUUUCAAUUAUUACCUCUAUGCAUAUGAUUGCCCACAAAUAUAAAUAUUCAACCCCAAGCUCUCUUCCAAGUUCUAGUGUUACCUAUUUAUAACUGUCUCAUCAAUAUUCUCAAACACAUUAAGUCCAAAACUGAAUUCUUUAUCUUUCUUCCUAAAAAGUGCCCCCUCCAUGCUCUUAGUCACUCAGCUUUGUAAGCUCAGAAUCUUUGGCUCUUCUGUCUUUUUAACACUCAGUUUCUACUUCCAAUUAGUUGCCCCAGUUUUAUUCUAUUUCCACAAUACUUUCUCAUAAUGUUUCCUUCUCUUCAUUCUCACUGACAUCAACAAUGAUUAGGAUACAGACAUGGAUGGCAUGCUUACAAAAUUUUCAGAGGACAGAGGUUACUGGGUGGGAUUACAGAAAAUAUCUUGACAGGUUAGAAAAUGCAUUAGAAACAAAUAUGAUAAAAUUUAUUAGUGAUAAAUGCAGUCUCACAUUUAAGUAUGAGAAUACUUCACAGUACAAAAUAGGUGAGGCAUGGUGAGACAGAAGACUAUUUGAAAAAGAUCGUGGAGUUUCAGGAGACUCAAUAUGAUUCAAGAAUAUGACAUGGCAGUCAAAAGCACUAAUGUGAUUUUUGGUUGCAUGGAGAGACAGGCUCCAGGAUUAGGGAGGUUAACAGUUCUGUUGUACUUUGUUCUAGUCAGACUAUAUAUGGAAAACUAUUCAGUUCUAGAGCUUACAUUUUACACACUGAUAAGCUUAAAAGUGUUCAGAGGUGGGAGACUACAGUAUUUGGAAUAUAUCAGGUGCUUAUACUGUAAAAUCAUGGUAUGUGGAGUGGCAUCUUGGGGGUCUCCUGUCUACUCAUUAGAGUGGCUUUGGAGUACAGACCCCUGAGAUUCCAUACCACACAAAUGGGGGUUCAUCUGGGAUCAGUCGCGUUCCUGCACUGGAUACCUUGGGGUGCCCCUCUCCAUCACUCUGGAUUUGGGAAUCUGAACCUGACUCCCUUUUGAUUGGUUGACGGCAACAGAGGCCAUGGCCUGUCCUUUCCAAACAUCUCUCAGGACUAACUGGAUCCAUAUUCAACUGCUGUUCACAUGAAACCCUUCUCCAUUUUGGCUUUCAAAGUUCUCACUUGAAUAUUUGCUAUCAUCACCAAGAUCUGCACCUGUGGUGGCUUCACCUGGGCCCAUUCCCCAGGCUUCUAGGCCCAUUGGGGGGGGGCCUUCUUACUUUGUCACAGCCUAGCCCCUGAGGAGUGAGUUCACGUCUUCCUCCUGUGGAAUAUGUUCUUGGGGAACAACACAUUUCUAUUCCUGCUUAUGCACAUUGCCAGCAGCGAAAGGAAAUUCAGAAUAAGAGAGAAAUCACAAAAGAAGAGAAGAGAUAUGUCUUGUCUCUGAGAGAAGUCUGUACUUGCUAUGGCUGUAAUCAGCCCAGCUACUUAAAGGGCCAGUGCCCUGAGACACUGACUUGCUGAAGCCAGAACUGACAAAGGGAUCAGUGAAAUUUUCUGCUGAGACAAAGCUGGAGGAUUUUUGAACACUCUGUGCCCUAUCUGUGAAGACACUGAUUUUAAUAAGAUUUAUUUACAAGUUUUAGAAGCUGACUGACAAAAUUCCCCCUUUCUUGGGAGGGUGAAGAACAUGUAAAUACAGUAGAAAAUCUUGGGAAAACACUGAUUUAGUAGCAUGCUUUCAAAGUUCAUGUUAACUGUUUUCUUUCUGUUUUUGUUGUUUGUGACCCUGCAUUAUAGUAUGUACACACAAAAGGGGGGUUGGGAAAAGAAAUCUCUAAGUGAUUUUGAGGUAAAUCUGUUUCUGUCUCCCAUCAUUCCGAAAAGUAGAAGAGCUGAAAAGACCAGAAAAUGUGUUUGAGAGAUUAAAAAAGAAACAUGUGAAUUUUUGGAACUCUUAAAUUUUAAGAUUAUCUAAGCUGAAAAAAGAAACUUUGUCCUCUACUCUUAAUAGAGGACAAAGGCAAAAAGAUUUGUUCAACAUUUUUUCCUCUGUUCUUUUUUCGACUGGCUACCAAUUGGGUAGAGGGAAGAUUAGAACAAAAGAAGGGAGAUUUUUGAUCCCACGAUUUGAUUGGAUUUUUACUUAGGAUUAAUUUUUAAAGUUGAUGUAUAUGAUUUUGGAAAAUCACAAAUGAUUCUGAAAUGUAUCUAUGGAAUUAUGUGAAAUGUCUGUAAAGUGAUUCAGUGUUGGAAAUUGCCUAUCAGUUGUAUGAGAUUCCAGAUAAGUUCAAUUCUGUACUUAAUGAUGAGAGAACUGUUAGUUCUCACUGAGACUUGAAAUGAACAAUGGUUAGAGAUUUGAGUGUUUGUACAUACCUAAAAUAUGUUAUUUCAGAAUGAGAAUUGACUGAAUGUAAUUAAUAGCUAGACUGAUGCAGAAGGAGAUUUUUACUUUAAAGAAGCAGGUGAGAAGCAAACUCCUGAUAAGUGCUGUGCUGGCUGCUUAGUGAAGUAAAAUGAGUGUAAAGUGUAUAAGAAUUUACUACCAGCUUUCUAGAAGAUAUGAUAUAAUAUGGAGAAAAUUCUGUAUGAUUUAAGUUUUGGUUUGACAAAUGAGAACAUGAAAAUGUUAUUUUAGUAUAUGUGCUGUUGAAUUAAGAAACAAGUGAAAAUGUAACAAACAUUGGGAAGAAGCUUUAAAUUUGGAAAUUUGAAAUUAAAUAUCUGAUAAGAAUUUGAAAUAUUGCAAAAGGAUUUCUGAAUUUGUAAACAUUUGUUGUAACCAAUUGGGAUAUAUGAAUUGUUGCCAAAAUAUGUUCCUUAGGUAAAAAUUAUUUUAUUACUGGAUGUAUAUAUGGAUUUAAAUUAAUCUAUUUGCUUGUGUUUGUAUAAACACAAAUGAUUUAUGAAUUUGAACUAUAAGCCAAACUAAUGUUAAAUGAAUUGGAUAAGGCAAAAUGUAAAGCUAUGAUAUGUAAAUUAUGAAUGUGAAUGACACAAUUGAUAGAAAGAAUGACAAAUAGGGUUCUUCUGAGCUACUAAUAGCAGGUGACAGACUACCUAGUGGAAGUUAAGUUUAGUGACAGUAAAAGCAAGUUGUAGAAAGUGAGAGAGGACUGUGGGAUUAGUAUAUGAAAGACAUAAAGUGUAGGAGACAAUCAGAAUAUGGGGCCUCUUUAUGAGUCAGAAGAUAGACAUGUUGUAUAAACAAUAUAAGUAGAUAUGUGAAGUUGUCAGCAAGAAUAUAUUGAAUGUGAUUCUGCUUGAAGCAGAGACUUAAGGGGGAAAAAGUGGAAGUUGAGAGAUUAAGGAAGUUUAAGCGAUUGACUAUUUCAUCUCCCCCUCUUACCAAGGAGGAGGGACUAGCUAUUUCAAUUAGAUUUAUGAUAAAGUAAGAAAAAAUCUUUUGAAGACCAAGGUAAGGCAAAUAUAAAUAAGGUAUAGAAUAAGGAGACAUGGAAUUGGCAUUUACUGUUUGAAGAAGUUAAAGGACAAGAACAUUUAUUUUUAGAUAAACUUGAAGUAAGAUUUUUAGAAGCCAUUAGAAUAAUCAAGUAGCUGGAAACUUAUUUGAAAUUUUGGAUUUUAAAGAAUGAAAUUGGAACACUAAGAGAACAGGUUGUUUUUUUUUUAUCAACUGUAAUGAAUAGGAUUUUUGCCCUUUAAGACAAAAGGUUUAUGGGAAUCAUACCUGAUAUUAUUGUAGGCUUGGAUUUCCAUCUCUCUGAUGAUCUACCACUGAAUAGAAGAACAAGAAGACACUCAGAAGAUAAGUGAAAGUACUAUAACAGUUGGAAAGGCAGUCUGAGGCUCAACUUACCAACCCGGGGUACUAGUGGUCUCUGGGUGAAACAUUUUUGUCAUGAGCCAGUGACAGCUUUGGCCUGUGCAUGAAGUCAGACAGUGUAACCCACUCAUUCUGUAUCUUUGAAAGAACCAUUAGGAGAGUUAAAGAUCUUUUUUCCUGCCUUUCUUUUGUGACAAAUUCCUACUAUCAGCAAAUUCAGGAUGCAAAUUCUAAGAUGGAAAGUUUCCAUUUUCCAAACAAGCAAGUAGACUAGUAGUAAAAGGUUAGAUUUGAUUAAUAGCUUUAGGCAAGUGAGGUUUUUGAUGAUCUGUAAUUGAGAUUCCAAAGAAAUAGGUAGAAGUAGUUAUGAGAAGCUAAACUUUAGACUAAGGUUUGGGACUAGGAAUUUCUAUAUUUCCUACAGAACCUGAGGUAGAAGUAUUUAUUUCAUAAAAUAUUUGCUUUGCAAAAGAAUUUUUUGCCAGUAUGAGGAUCUGUAGAGAUUCUGCAAGCAAUCUUGAGCAGAGGGAGCAAGUUUCCUGAGAAGACCCAUCCCUGGCCAUCAGAAAAUGAUUUCUGAAGAUGACGAUGAAGAAUGUCCAACUAUACCCAAAUGUUAUUUGCAUAUAGAAGAAACCGAAAUUUUAGAAGGGCUAGACACCACUCCUUCGGUGAGCUGGUGGAACUCAAUGUUCAAUGGACAUUGGACACAGAUAGCUCCAACCAUUAUUGUUAUUGUUUGUGUUCUUUUGCUUAUUUCUUGUUUAAUUCCCUAUUUCAUUGUCCUGAUUCAGAGAACUAUAGAGAAUAUGCAUGUUGUGGUUCAAAAGCUCUAUUCCCAUCAGGAGGUUCCCCAAAUGAUGAUUUUGAGAAAGCAAAAAAUUCCUAUCUUGAAAGUCAUAGCUGAGCCUAAGGAGGGUGCUGAAAUUGAUUUCAUGCUUCAGCUCUUUGAUGAAGAGGUCCCUAAAGAUCAGUAGGAUUGUGUGGGUUGAAAUCAUGUAUUAUUCUCCAGAACAUAUUAGCUAGUAUUAAUAAUCUUAGACUGGCAACUUCCUAUAGAAAAUUAGUGGAAAUUAGGUGCUCUUGAGAAGAAAGACACCAAUAUCUCCUAAUGAAAAGUAGAGAAAUCCCCCUUCUCAAGCAGUUUUUAUAUCUAUAUAUCUAUAUAUACACACCUCUAAUUAUCCUAAUUAGCAUUCUUUUCUAAUUUGGUUAAACCACCCCUACCCUUUUCCCCUUUUUCUUAUUAUGGAAUCCUAAUAGCUCUGACAGUAUUUCAAAAGGUUAAAGAGGUUAGAAGCUAGAUGGUGAUGGAAAAUUACAGCUCCAAAGGUUCGUGAAUCUAAAGUUACAGACUUAACUCCCAAAUGUUUCAGUAUGAAAGACUUUGGUCAUGUCUAAACUCUGACUCACUUUAGAAAUUGCAAACUUGAGGAAUGCUCCCAUGGGGAAACUUAAGAGAAGGGUAGGGGAAGAUAAAGAAAAAUAUAACAUACACAGAUAGUGUGUUCAUAGUUGAUCAUCAUACAAAAUUACUCUGUGUAGCGUUCUUCUGGUUCUGUUCACUUCACUUUGCAACAAUCCUUGAAAGUCUUUCUGAGUUUUUUUUGAAAUCAUCCUGCUCAUCAUUACACACAAUCAUGUACUACAACUUGUUUAGCCAUUCUCCAAUUGAUGGAUGACCCCCUCAGCUUCCAAUUCUUUGCCAACACAAAAAGCUGUUAUAAAUAUUUUGCUACCAAUAGACCCUUCCUUUUUUGUGAUCUCUUUGGGUUAUAGACUUAGUGGUAUUGGUGGUUUAAAGGGUAUGCACAAUUUCUUAGAUCUUUGGGCAUGGCUCCAAAUUGCUCUCAAGAAUGGUAGAUCAGUUCAAAAUUCCAACACUGCAUUAGUGUCAUAUUUUUCCCACAUCCCUUCCAACAUUUCAUUUUCCAUUUCUGUCUUAUCAGCCAAUCGGACAGAGUAAUUUCAAUUUGCAGUGUCUUAGAGCAUUUUAAAAUAUUUCUAUAUGUAGCUUUGAUUUCUUUAUCUGAAAACUUCCUGUUCAUAUCCUUUGACAAUUAAGGAAUGACUUGUAUUCUAAUAAAUUUGACUCAAUUCUCUAUAUAUUUGAGAAAUGAGGCCUUUUGAGAGAUAUUUGCCAUAAAUUUCCCAUCCUGUCCAAUUUUCUGCUUUCCUUUUAAUCUUACGUUUCAUUGGUUUGAUUUGUGCAAAACCCCUUUAAUAUAAUCAAAACUAACCAUUUUGGGGGUAGUUGUGGUUCAGUGGAUUGAGAGCCAGGUCCCGAGACAGGAGGUCCUGGGUUCAAAUCUGGCCUUAGGUACUUCCUAGCUGUGUGACCCUGGGUUCACUUGACCCCCAUUGCUUAGCCCUUGCUACUCUUCUGCCUUAGAACCAAUUGGUUCUAAGGUGGAAGGUAAAGGUUUAAAAAAAAAUUUAACCAUUUUACAUCCUGUACUGAUUUCUUUCUCUUUUUUUGGUAAAAACUUCUUCCUUUAUCCACUGAUCUAACAGACAAACUAUUCCAUAAGGAGCUCACAUUUUAAGGGGGAGGGGCAAGUAGAAGAUAAUCUCAGAAGGAAGCAUUUAGCUGUAAGGGUGGGGAAGUGAGAGUGGGAAAGGUCUUUUUCAAAAGGAGAGAUUUGAGCUGAGACUUGAAGGAUAUAAGCCAAACAGGAUUUUAUAUUGGAUCCUGGAGACAAUAGGGAGUCACUAGAGUUUAUUAAGUAGGGGAAUGAUGUGGUUAGACCUGUGUUUUAGAAAGAUCAUUUUGAUAGCUGUGUGGAUGAUGGAUUGUCAUGGGGAGAGACUUGAGGAAGAGAGAGCAGUUAGAAGGCUAAUGCACCAGUCCAUGGGUGAGGUGAUGAGAGCCUGCAUUAGGGUGACAGCAGUGUUGGAGAAGAGAGUUGGGUAUAUGAGAAAUGCUGUGAAGGUUAAGAAUAACAAAUAGUUUGAAUAUGUCUACUGACCAUGAGAACAGAUGACAAUGAGGUUGUUACCUAGAUGCCUGGUAGGAUAGUGGCACCGUCAAAAGUAAUAAGGAAUUUUGGAAGAGGGGAGGAUUUGGUAGGAAAGAUAAUGAAUCCUUUUUCAGACAUGCUGAAAUUGAUAUGUCUUCAGGAUAUCCAGUUAGAGAUAUUUAAAUAAGGAAAGGAAAUUAGCAUUUAUUAAGUACCUCCUAGUUCUAGGUAAUGAUAACUUAACCUUCAGAAAGUGAGAAGUCAAUCCUACAGACACUGCCCCCUGGGCAGUGCUGGACAAUUUGGAAACUGUGAUUGGCCCCUGUGAAAAGGGGAAAGAACAAGAAGUCACCAUUAAAAGCAAGCUUUGAACUCCUUUGGGGGAGAUUGUCUUUGAGAAGAUUGUCUUUUGGAGAUAGUCUUAGAUAGUCUUUGAGGGAGCUUCACUGGAGACUGUGGCGUGGAUCAUGGUCUCAGAGCUCGGCUUCUACAUGGACUCUGGCUCUUGGACUACUUUGUUGGCUUGAUGGAGACUUUCAGCUUGAGGAAGAACUGAGUUCAAUAUGGCCUCAGAUACUAGUUAUGUGACCCUGGGAAAGUAAGAUAAGAAAACUGAAGCCCAGAGAGGUUGUGUCUUUCCCAAGUGAACCUACAUCCUGAGUCCAAACCCAGUGUUCUUUCCAUUAGACCAUGGUGCCUUCCUAAACCAACAAGCUUCUUAGCUACACAUGCCCUAUUCACUCUGGGAGUGCCUGAGCCGAAGCUGCCUUGGCCAAGUUUACUUAUUAAACUUGUACCCACCUUCAUUCUUGAAGCAAAAGCUGGAGUUUGGAGGUUCCUUCUGGCUACUUAGGGAAAGGAAGAUGGGUCAAGUAGUAGCAAAGCACAACUCAGACAUCCCUUUGCUUUUAGAAGGAAGCAGCUAGAGAGAGACAGAUCUGAGAAAGACCCCAAACACUCAACUCUUCAUCCUUUGUGUUAGUUUCAUUCAAGCUCAAAAAAUAAAAACUGGAAACCAUCUUCUGAAA
Monodelphis domestica (gray short-tailed opossum) is the source of this 11864-nucleotide non-coding RNA. Lineage: Eukaryota; Metazoa; Chordata; Mammalia; Didelphimorphia; Didelphidae. The record is from RefSeq and is a predicted model, not a curated record.